This 153-nucleotide non-coding RNA is filed under the name Vitis vinifera (wine grape). RNAcentral's name for it is "Bacterial large subunit ribosomal RNA". It matches the Rfam family "Bacterial large subunit ribosomal RNA", at positions 2659 to 2811 of the family's 2925-position model. The record is from Rfam by way of RNAcentral. Lineage: Eukaryota; Viridiplantae; Streptophyta; Magnoliopsida; Vitales; Vitaceae.
GCAUUGAGAGGACCGUUCCCUAGUACCAAAGGACCAGGAAGGAUGCACCUUUGAUGUACUAGUUAUCGUGCCCAUGGUAAACAUUGGGUAGCUGAAUGCAAAGCAGAUAACUAUUGAAAGCAUCUAAUAGUAAGCAUAACCCAAGAUGAGUGC